Coffea arabica (coffee) is the source of this 587-nucleotide long non-coding RNA. RefSeq lists it as uncharacterized. The record is from RefSeq and is a predicted model, not a curated record. Lineage: Eukaryota; Viridiplantae; Streptophyta; Magnoliopsida; Gentianales; Rubiaceae.
AUUCCAGGCAUCUCCUUUGGAACCAGACAAAGAAGUCCUUCAGCCUUUUAGAAUGUGUGACAAGCAGAAGGUUUAGCCCCAAAAGAGAAUAUGCAGAAUCAGGGACGCAACUGAAAAAGUGUGAAAAUCAACAGUGAUUACUUGCCAUUUCUUGAAAACACCUCACAAGAUUGCCUAUUGACAUAUAUUCAAGAAUAUUUUCAGGCAUUUGAGGUGUUUUUUGAGGAGGAGUCGUCAAGUGCUAAGGCACAUCAUAUCCUUUUCAAGAAUACGAGAAUAUGCAUAUUUUCAGAGAAUGACAAGAAGAAGGAUUAGGCCCAAUGAGAAGUAAGAUUUGUGCUUGACAUUUAGGGGUUCUUUAGCAUCAUCCCAAUUCCCACGUAAUACAGCUGUUUGUAAUGUCUCAGUCGUAUGAAAGUGACCAGUGACCACAUUGCAAUACUCUGAAGCAGCCAAUGUUUUUCCCAGGAAGAAAAGAAAAUUACAGUAGCUAUUGAAUCAUGUGCAUUAAUGUACAAGAUUUACAGUCAGUGAAACCGAUCGGUAGUAAUGGUUGUUAUAAUAAAAGAUAAGAAAUGAUGGUCCUU